GGUGAGAAAGAGAAGGUGACAAUGGAAGCCCUGAUGGCAAGUAUGAUAAGAAACAUCACCAGCAUAUGGAUAAUAACAUAUUUCUUUUUCACUUAUUUCUUCUUUUUCUACAAAGAACAUUAUCAGCAACGGCCCUUUCUCUGGCAGCUGAAUGGGAUUUUGACAGUGACUUUUUCAGUGGAACUGAGUGUUUGUAUUUCUUAUUUGUGGGCACGGCACAAUUGCCAAGGUAUAUUUUUUAAGGAGGAUUGGAUGAACUGGAUUGUUUGGAGCCUCAUUUUCAUCUUCAUCUCAUUCCUUGGAAUACUUAUGUUCCACAGUGGAUUUCGAUUUUUGUUCUCCCUUCUUAUGCUAUUUAUGCUUUUUAUGAAUUUCACCAAUAUUGAGAAUAUUAUCUUUCUUCUGCCUGCACUAAGGUUAAGUUUAUCCUGGAUUCUGAGUCUCCACAUGUGUAAAUGAUUCAGAAACAUCUGAGGAGUCUCUAAAAGUCAUCUGAAACCAGGAAAAUAAAUCUACUGAAGAGGUGCCCUGAAGCCCCUGAAAACACCAUGGAGAAUGCACAGUGGGAUUUGAAGGACACUCAUGAACAGCUCUUCACUCCUAA
This is a long non-coding RNA of Dromiciops gliroides (monito del monte), 604 nucleotides long. RefSeq lists it as uncharacterized. NCBI's taxonomy places the organism in Eukaryota, Metazoa, Chordata, Mammalia, Microbiotheria, Microbiotheriidae. The transcript has 4 exons. The record is from RefSeq and is a predicted model, not a curated record.